Molecule: long non-coding RNA, 262 nt
Filed under: Mytilus galloprovincialis (Mediterranean mussel)
Lineage: Eukaryota; Metazoa; Mollusca; Bivalvia; Mytilida; Mytilidae
Source: RNAcentral
GUGGUACCUAACACUACAGGGAGAUAACUCCGUAAAGUCAGCUAAACGUUUUAAUCACAUUGUUUUGUAAAGGGAAUAUUAAGCUUCUCAAUGAUCAAAAUUGGUGUUUGUCAAACUGCUAUAUAACCAGUGUAAUUUUUCUGACAAAACGGUUGGUUCAAAAUUUUUGAAAUUUUUAUAGUUUUGUUAAAGGGUCAAAGUAAAUACUUUGUCAAAAUUUUAUGACAAUUAAACGAGACAAAUAAAUUUUAGUGAAAGUGUU